ACGGUCCUACGGGGGGCAGCAGUGAGGAAUAUUGGUCAAUGGGCGGAAGCCUGAACCAGCCAAGUCGCGUGAGGGAAUAAGGCCCUACGGGUCGUAAACCUCUUUUGCCGGGGAGCAAGGGCGGGGACGUGUCCCGGCCCGGAGAGUACCCGGAGAAAAAGCAUCGGCUAACUCCGUGCCAGCAGCCGCGGUAAUACGGAGGAUGCGAGCAUUAUCCGGAUUUAUUGGGUUUAAAGGGUGCGUAGUCGGGCUUUUAAGUCAGCGGAAAAAAUUCGGGGAUCAACCCCGUCCGGCCGGUGAAACUG
This 305-nucleotide ribosomal RNA is filed under the name uncultured bacterium. RNAcentral describes it as "bacterial SSU rRNA". It matches the Rfam family "Bacterial small subunit ribosomal RNA", at positions 333 to 635 of the family's 1533-position model. The record is from RNAcentral.